RNAcentral lists this ribosomal RNA (392 nucleotides) under uncultured bacterium. Its description in RNAcentral is "bacterial SSU rRNA". It matches the Rfam family "Bacterial small subunit ribosomal RNA", at positions 335 to 717 of the family's 1533-position model. The record is from RNAcentral.
ACUCCUACGGGAGGCAGCAGUGGGGAAUAUUGCACAAUGGGCGCAAGCCUGAUGCAGCCAUGCCGCGUGUGUGAAGAAAGGCCUUCGGGUUGUAAAAGCACUUUCAGUUGUGAGGAAGGUGGUGUCGUUAAUAGCGGCAUCAUUUGACGUUAGCAACAGAAGAAGACACCGGCUAACUCCGUGCCAGCAGCCGCGGUAAUACGGAGGGUGCGAGCGUAAUCGGAAUUACUGGCGUAAAGACGCAUGCAGGUGGUUUGUUAAGUUCAGAUGUGAAAGCCGGGGCUCGAACCUCGGAACCUGCAUUUGAAACUGGCAGACUAGAGUACUGUAGAGGGGGUAGAAUUCAGGUGUAGCGUGAAAUGCGUAGAGAUCUGAAGGAAUAACCGGUGGCG